Molecule: transfer RNA, 72 nt
Filed under: Coilia reynaldi (Reynald's grenadier anchovy)
Lineage: Eukaryota; Metazoa; Chordata; Actinopteri; Clupeiformes; Engraulidae
Description: tRNA-Val
Source: RNAcentral
UAGGACGUGGCCGAGAUAGAUAGGCAACUCUCUUACACUGAGUACACACCCAUGCAAAUUGGGUCGCCCUAA